RNAcentral lists this ribosomal RNA (873 nucleotides) under Triticum aestivum (bread wheat). Its description in RNAcentral is "partial small subunit ribosomal RNA". The record is from RNAcentral. Lineage: Eukaryota; Viridiplantae; Streptophyta; Magnoliopsida; Poales; Poaceae.
AUGGCAGCAGCAGCACCCGCAGAGACGAUGAACAAGCCCGACGCCGAGGUUCUCGAGGCGGUCACCUCGGUGUUCCAGCCGGGGAAGCUUGCGGUCGAGGCGAUUCAGGUGGAUGAGAAUGCGGCGCCGACACCACCGAUCCCGGUGCUGAUCGUCGCACCAAAGGAUGCGGGAACCUACCCCGUCGCCAUGCUCUUGCACGGCUUCUUCCUCCAUUACCACUUCUACGAACACCUUCUUCGACACGUGGCAUCCCACGGCUUCAUCAUUGUCGCACCCCAGUUCAGCAUCAGUAUCAUACCUUCAGGUGACGCCGAGGACAUCGCCGCGGCAGCCAAGGUGGCAGACUGGCUCCCCGACGGCCUCCCGUCCGUGCUGCCCAAAGGCGUCGAGCCGGAGCUCUCGAAGCUCGCCUUGGCCGGCCACAGCCGAGGAGGCCACACGGCUUUCUCAUUGGCCAUGGGGCAUGCCAAGACCCAGCUAACCUUCUCCGCGCUCAUCGGUCUCGACCCUGUCGCCGGCACAGGGAAGUCCUCCCAGCUCCAGCCCAAGAUCCUCACCUACGAGCCCUCCUCCUUCGACAUGGCGAUGCCGGUGCUGGUCGUUGGCACCGGGCUCGGCGAGGAGAAGAAGAACAUAUUCUUCCCUCCCUGCGCACCCAAGGACGUGAACCACGCCGAGUUCUACCGCGAGUGCAGGCCGCCCUGCUACUACUUUGUGACCAAGGACUACGGGCAUCUGGACAUGCUGGACGACGACGUCCCCAAGUUCAUCACCUGCGUCUGCAAGGAUGGGAACGGGUGCAAGGGCAAGAUGCGGAGGUGCGUUGCUGGGAUCAUGCAUGGUGGCAUUUCUGAAUGCUGCCCUGGGUGA